This 292-nucleotide ribosomal RNA is filed under the name uncultured bacterium. RNAcentral describes it as "partial 16S ribosomal RNA". It matches the Rfam family "Bacterial small subunit ribosomal RNA", at positions 505 to 796 of the family's 1533-position model. The record is from RNAcentral.
GUGCCAGCCGCCGCGGUAAUACAGAGGGUGCGAGCGUUAAUCGGAAUUACUGGGCGUAAAGCGCACGUAGGCGGCUCUGCAAGUCGGUUGUGAAAUCCCCGGGCUCAACCUGGGAACUGCGACCGAGACUGCAUUGCUAGAGUAUGGGAGAGGAAAGCGGAAUUUCUGGUGUAGCAGUGAAAUGCGUAGAUAUCAGAAGGAACAUCAGUGGCGAAGGCGGCUUUCUGGACCAAUACUGACGCUCAGGUGCGAAAGCGUGGGGAGCAAACAGGAUUAGAAACCCCCGUAGUCC